This is a long non-coding RNA of Sinocyclocheilus grahami, 296 nucleotides long. RefSeq lists it as uncharacterized. The record is from RefSeq and is a predicted model, not a curated record. NCBI's taxonomy places the organism in Eukaryota, Metazoa, Chordata, Actinopteri, Cypriniformes, Cyprinidae. The transcript has 3 exons.
GUCUACACAGAUCACAAUCCUUUAAUUUUUCUACACUCUUUACAAAACCCCAACCAAAGGCUAAUGAGAUGGUGUGUUUUUUUACAGGGUUACCUGUUGGAUAUUAAAGGCUCAGAAAAUGUCACCGCUGAUGCCUUGUCUCGUGUUCACAUAGUCCAAGUGUUGUAGAACUCAGAUUUUCUCUCUUUUCCCUUCCUUCAUUUUGCUUCCUAGGCGCCAAGGUUGCUGGAAGGAGUUGCGGAGUUGAAAACGCUGAGGAACAUUUGCUAGCUGAAUCGAUCGGAAGAGCACCGUCU